GAUUAACGCUAGCGGCAGGCCUAAUACAUGCAAGUCGAACGGGAUUCAAAGUAGCAAUAUUUUGAUGAGAGUGGCGCACGGGUGAGUAACACGUAUGCAAUUUUACCUUUAACUGGGGGAGUAGCCCUCCGAAAGGAGGAUUAAUACCGCAUAAUAUAUUGAAAUGGCAUCAUUUUAAUAUAAACCUACGGGGGUUAAAGAUGAGCAUGCAUCCGAUUAGCUAGUUGGUGUGGUAACGGCUCACCAAGGCAACGAUCGGGUAGGGGGUCGUGAGAGGAUGAUCCCCCACCACUGGUACUGAGACACGGACCAGACUCCUACGGGAGGCAGCAGUAAGGAAUAUUGGACAAUGGAGGCAACUCUGAUCCAGCCAUG
This 375-nucleotide ribosomal RNA is filed under the name uncultured bacterium. Its description in RNAcentral is "bacterial SSU rRNA". It matches the Rfam family "Bacterial small subunit ribosomal RNA", at positions 28 to 396 of the family's 1533-position model. The record is from RNAcentral.